RNAcentral lists this ribosomal RNA (466 nucleotides) under uncultured bacterium. Its description in RNAcentral is "partial 16S ribosomal RNA". It matches the Rfam family "Bacterial small subunit ribosomal RNA", at positions 28 to 507 of the family's 1533-position model. The record is from RNAcentral.
GACGAACGCUGGCGGCGUGCUUAACACAUGCAAGUCGAACGGAAAGGCCCUGCUUGCAGGGUACUCGAGUGGCGAACGGGUGAGUAACACGUGGGUGAUCUGCCCUGCACUUCGGGAUAAGCUUGGGAAACUGGGUCUAAUACCGGAUAGGAGCCAUCUUUAGUGUGGUGGUUGGAAAGUUUUUUCGGUGUAGGAUGAGCUCGCGGCCUAUCGGCUUGUUGGUGGGGUAAUGGCCUACCAAGGCGGCGACGGGUAGCCGGCCUGAGAGGGUGUACGGCCACAUUGGGACUGAGAUACGGCCCAGACUCCUACGGGAGGCAGCAGUGGGGAAUAUUGCACAAUGGGCGCAAGCCUGAUGCAGCGACGCCGCGUGGGGGAUGAAGGCCUUCGGGUUGUAAACUCCUUUCGCUAGGGACGAAGCUUUUUUGUGACGGUACCUAGAUAAGAAGCACCGGCUAACUACGUG